RNAcentral lists this ribosomal RNA (525 nucleotides) under uncultured bacterium. RNAcentral's name for it is "bacterial SSU rRNA". It matches the Rfam family "Bacterial small subunit ribosomal RNA", at positions 791 to 1318 of the family's 1533-position model. The record is from RNAcentral.
UAGUCCACGCCGUAAACGAUGAAUACUAGGUGUAGGAGGUAUCGACCCCUUCUGUGCCGCCGCUAACGCAUUAAGUAUUCCGCCUGGGGAGUACGGUCGCAAGAUUAAAACUCAAAGGAAUUGACGGGGGCCCGCACAAGCAGCGGAGCAUGUGGUUUAAUUCGAAGCAACGCGAAGAACCUUACCUAGACUUGACAUCCCUUGCAUACCAUAGAGAUAUGGGAAGUCCUUCGGGACAAGGUGACAGGUGGUGCAUGGUUGUCGUCAGCUCGUGUCGUGAGAUGUUGGGUUAAGUCCCGCAACGAGCGCAACCCUUAUUGUUAGUUGCUACCAUUUAGUUGAGCACUCUAACGAGACUGCCCGGGUUAACCGGGAGGAAGGUGGGGAUGACGUCAAAUCAUCAUGCCCCUUAUGUCUAGGGCUACACACGUGCUACAAUGGUAAGUACAGAGAGAUGCAAUACCGCAAGGUGGAGCAAAACUCAAAAACUUAUCCCAGUUCGGAUUGUAGGCUGAAACUCGCCUA